Molecule: long non-coding RNA, 881 nt
Organism: Eriocheir sinensis (Chinese mitten crab)
Lineage: Eukaryota; Metazoa; Arthropoda; Malacostraca; Decapoda; Varunidae
Exons: 4
Source: RefSeq, a predicted model, not a curated record
CUUGAUGUUUUGUUACUAUAUUUUUCUUUUUCUGGUGUUCCUUUUUAUUUUCCUUUUCUUUGGUGUUCCCAUCACGUGGAUUGUCUACGACAUCUAACGAGCACCACAAGCCCCGGUUUAUUGUUCGGAGUUUGCUCUCCUAGGCAGACUGCCUACCACGGCUGACGAGCUCCACCUGCCCGGGUUUAUUGUUCGGAGUUUGCUCUCCUAGGCAGACUGCCUACCACGGCUGACGAGCUCCACCUGCCCGGGUUUAUUGUUCGGAGUUUGCUCUCCUAGGCAGAUUGCCCACCACGGCUGACGAGCUCCACCUGCCCGGGUUUUAUGCAUGGAGUUUGCUCUCCUAGGUGUAUUGCCUAUGACGACUCACGAGCCCAACCUGCCCGGGUUUAUUGUUCGGAGUUUGCUCUCCUAGGUGUAUUACCUAUGACGGCUCACGAGCCCAACCUGCCCGGGUUUAUUGUUCGGAGUUUGCUCUCCUAGGUGUAUUACCUAUGACGGCUCACGAGCCCAACCUGCCCGGGUUUAUUGUUCGGAGUUUGCUCUCCUAGGUGAAUUGCCUACCACGGCUAACGAACCUCACCUGCCCGGGUUUGUAAUCGGAGUUUGCUCUCCUAGGUGAACUGCUUUCGCUAACGACCUCCACCUGCCCGGGUUUGUAAUCGGAGUUUGCUCUCCUAGAUGAAUUGCUUUCGCUAACGACCUCCACCUGCCCGGGUUUGUAAUCGGAGUUUGCUCUCCUAGGUGUAUUACCUAUGACGGCUCACGAGCCCAACCUGCCCGGGUUUAUUGUUCGGAGUUUGCUCUCCUAGGUGAAUUGCCUACCACGGCUAACGAACCUCACCUGCCCGGGUUUGUUGUUCGGAGUUUGCUCUCCUAGG